UACGAAGGGGGCUAGCGUUGUUCGGAAUCACUGGGCGUAAAGGGCGCGUAGGCGGCUUUAUAAGUCGGGGGUGAAAGCCUGUGGCUCAACCACAGAAUUGCCUUCGAUACUGUAGAGCUUGAGACCGGAAGAGGUAAGUGGAACUGCGAGUGUAGAGGUGAAAUUCGUAGAUAUUAGGAAGAACACCAGUGGCGAAGGCGGCUCACUGGUCCGGUACUGACGCUGAGGUGCGAAAGCGUGGGGAGCAAACAGG
Molecule: ribosomal RNA, 253 nt
Filed under: uncultured bacterium
Lineage: Bacteria
Description: partial 16S ribosomal RNA
Rfam family: Bacterial small subunit ribosomal RNA
Source: RNAcentral